RNAcentral lists this ribosomal RNA (2226 nucleotides) under Salmonella enterica. RNAcentral describes it as "partial 23S ribosomal RNA". It matches the Rfam family "Bacterial large subunit ribosomal RNA", at positions 680 to 2802 of the family's 2925-position model. The record is from RNAcentral. Lineage: Bacteria; Pseudomonadati; Pseudomonadota; Gammaproteobacteria; Enterobacterales; Enterobacteriaceae.
AGUCUUAAUUGGGCGUUAAGUUGCAGGGUAUAGACCCGAAACCCGGUGAUCUAGCCAUGGGCAGGUUGAAGGUUGGGUAACACUAACUGGAGGACCGAACCGACUAAUGUUGAAAAAUUAGCGGAUGACCUGUGGCUGGGGGUGAAAGGCCAAUCAAACCGGGAGAUAGCUGGUUCUCCCCGAAAGCUAUUUAGGUAGCGCCUCGUGAAUUCAUCUCCGGGGGUAGAGCACUGUUUCGGCUAGGGGGCCAUCCCGGCUUACCAACCCGAUGCAAACUGCGAAUACCGGAGAAUGUUAUCACGGGAGACACACGGCGGGUGCUAACGUCCGUCGUGAAGAGGGAAACAACCCAGACCGCCAGCUAAGGUCCCAAAGUCAUGGUUAAGUGGGAAACGAUGUGGGAAGGCCCAGACAGCCAGGAUGUUGGCUUAGAAGCAGCCAUCAUUUAAAGAAAGCGUAAUAGCUCACUGGUCGAGUCGGCCUGCGCGGAAGAUGUAACGGGGCUAAACCAUGCACCGAAGCUGCGGCAGCGAACGUAUCACCCAAGACAACUUUACGGAGUUGACGAUUGACGGAGCGAAGCGACGUCAAAGCGUUCAUUAAAGUCGAGUUGGCUUAGGGAUACGUUCGUUGGGUAGGGGAGCGUUCUGUAAGCCUGUGAAGGUGUGUCGUGAGGCAUGCUGGAGGUAUCAGAAGUGCGAAUGCUGACAUAAGUAACGAUAAAGCGGGUGAAAAGCCCGCUCGCCGGAAGACCAAGGGUUCCUGUCCAACGUUAAUCGGGGCAGGGUGAGUCGACCCCUAAGGCGAGGCCGAAAGGCGUAGUCGAUGGGAAACGGGUUAAUAUUCCCGUACUUGGUGUUACUGCGAAGGGGGGACGGAGAAGGCUAUGUUGGCCGGGCGACGGUUGUCCCGGUUUAAGCGUGUAGGUGUGUGUUCCAGGUAAAUCCGGUUCACUUUAACACUGAGGCGUGACGACGAGGCACUACGGUGCUGAAGCAACAAAUGCCCUGCUUCCAGGAAAAGCCUCUAAGCAUCAGGUAACACGAAAUCGUACCCCAAACCGACACAGGUGGUCAGGUAGAGAAUACCAAGGCGCUUGAGAGAACUCGGGUGAAGGAACUAGGCAAAAUGGUGCCGUAACUUCGGGAGAAGGCACGCUGACACGUAGGUGAAGUGAUUUACUCAUGGAGCUGAAGUCAGUCGAAGAUACCAGCUGGCUGCAACUGUUUAUUAAAAACACAGCACUGUGCAAACACGAAAGUGGACGUAUACGGUGUGACGCCUGCCCGGUGCCGGAAGGUUAAUUGAUGGGGUCAGCGUAAGCGAAGCUCCUGAUCGAAGCCCCGGUAAACGGCGGCCGUAACUAUAACGGUCCUAAGGUAGCGAAAUUCCUUGUCGGGUAAGUUCCGACCUGCACGAAUGGCGUAAUGAUGGCCAGGCUGUCUCCACCCGAGACUCAGUGAAAUUGAACUCGCUGUGAAGAUGCAGUGUACCCGCGGCAAGACGGAAAGACCCCGUGAACCUUUACUAUAGCUUGACACUGAACAUUGAGCCUUGAUGUGUAGGAUAGGUGGGAGGCUUUGAAGUGUGGACGCCAGUCUGCAUGGAGCCGACCUUGAAAUACCACCCUUUAAUGUUUGAUGUUCUAACGUGGACCCGUAAUCCGGGUUGCGGACAGUGUCUGGUGGGUAGUUUGACUGGGGCGGUCUCCUCCUAAAGAGUAACGGAGGAGCACGAAGGUUGGCUAAUCCUGGUCGGACAUCAGGAGGUUAGUGCAAUGGCAUAAGCCAGCUUGACUGCGAGCGUGACGGCGCGAGCAGGUGCGAAAGCAGGUCAUAGUGAUCCGGUGGUUCUGAAUGGAAGGGCCAUCGCUCAACGGAUAAAAGGUACUCCGGGGAUAACAGGCUGAUACCGCCCAAGAGUUCAUAUCGACGGCGGUGUUUGGCACCUCGAUGUCGGCUCAUCACAUCCUGGGGCUGAAGUAGGUCCCAAGGGUAUGGCUGUUCGCCAUUUAAAGUGGUACGCGAGCUGGGUUUAGAACGUCGUGAGACAGUUCGGUCCCUAUCUGCCGUGGGCGCUGGAGAACUGAGGGGGGCUGCUCCUAGUACGAGAGGACCGGAGUGGACGCAUCACUGGUGUUCGGGUUGUCAUGCCAAUGGCACUGCCCGGUAGCUAAAUGCGGAAGAGAUAAGUGCUGAAAGCAUCUAAGCACGAAACUUGCCCCGA